UUGGAGGGCAAGUCUGGUGCCAGCAGCCGCGGUAAUUCCAGCUCCAAUAGCGUAUAUUAAAGUUGUUGCAGUUAAAAAGCUCGUAGUUGAAUUUCGGGAUUGACACAUCGGUCGUGCCUUAAGGGGUAUGAACUGGUGUAGUCAAUUUCUCACCUUCUGGAGAACCGCGCUGUCCUUAAUUGGGUGACGCGGGGAACCAGGACCUUUACUUUGAAAAAAUUAGAGUGUUUAAAGCAGGCAUUUUGCUUGAAUACAUUAGCAUGGAAUAAUAAAAUAGGACGGCAUGAUUCUAUUUUGUUGGUUUCUAGGAUCACCGUAAUGAUUAAUAGGGAUAGUUGGGGGCAUUAGUAUUCAAUUGUCAGAGGUGAAAUUCUUGGAUUUAUUGAAGACUAACUACUGCGAAAGCAUUUGCCAAGGAUGUUUUCAUUAAUCAAGAACGAAAGUUAGGGGAUCGAAGACGAUCAGAUACCGUCGUAGUCUUAACCAUAAACUAUGCCGACUAGGAAUCAGACGAUGUUAAUUUUUUAAUGACUCGUUUGGCACCUUACGGGAAACCAAAGUGUUUGGGUUC
RNAcentral lists this ribosomal RNA (571 nucleotides) under uncultured Glomeromycotina. Its description in RNAcentral is "SSU rRNA". It matches the Rfam family "Eukaryotic small subunit ribosomal RNA", at positions 548 to 1114 of the family's 1831-position model. The record is from RNAcentral. Lineage: Eukaryota; Fungi; Glomeromycota.